UGACGAGCGGCGGACGGGUGAGUAAUACUUAGGAAUCUACCUAGUAGUGGGGGAUAGCACGGGGAAACUCGUAUUAAUACCGCAUACGACCUACGGGAGAAAGGGGGCAGUUUACUGCUCUCGCUAUUAGAUGAGCCUAAGUCGGAUUAGCUAGAUGGUGGGGUAAAGGCCUACCAUGGCGACGAUCUGUAGCUGGUCUGAGAGGAUGAUCAGCCACACCGGGACUGAGACACGGCCCGGACUCCUACGGGAGGCAGCAGUGGGGAAUAUUGGACAAUGGGGGAAACCCUGAUCCAGCCAUGCCGCGUGUGUGAAGAAGGCCUUUUGGUUGUAAAGCACUUUAAGCAGUGAAGAAGACUCCUCGGUUAAUACCCGUGGACGAUGACAUUAGCUGCAGAAUAAGCACCGGCUAACUCUGUGCCAGCAGCCGCGGUAAUACAGAGGGUGCAAGCGUUAAUCGGAAUUACUGGGCGUAAAGGGAGCGUAGGUGGCUCGAUAAGUCAGAUGUGAAAUCCCCGGGCUCAACCUGGGAACUGCAUCUGAUACUGUUGAGCUAGAGUAUGUGAGAGGAAGGUAGAAUUCCAGGUGUAGCGGUGAAAUGCGUAGAGAUCUGGAGGAAUACCGAUGGCGAAGGCAGCCUUCUGGCAUAAUACUGACACUGAGGCUCGAAAGCGUGGGUAGCAAACAGGAUUAGAUACCCUGGUAGUCCACGCCGUAAACGAUGUCUACUAGUCGUUGGGUCCCUUGAGGACUUAGUGACGCAGCUAACGCAAUAAGUAGACCGCCUGGGGAGUACGGCCGCAAGGUUAAAACUCAAAUGAAUUGACGGGGGCCCGCACAAGCGGUGGAGCAUGUGGUUUAAUUCGAUGCAACGCGAAGAACCUUACCUGGUCUUGACAUAUCUAGAAUCCUGCAGAGAUGCGGGAGUGCCUUCGGGAAUUAGAAUACAGGUGCUGCAUGGCUGUCGUCAGCUCGUGUCGUGAGAUGUUGGGUUAAGUCCCGCAACGAGCGCAACCCUUGUCCUUAGUUACCAGCGGGUUAAGCCGGGAACUCUAAGGAUACUGCCAGUGACAAACUGGAGGAAGGCGGGGACGACGUCAAGUCAUCAUGGCCCUUACGACCAGGGCUACACACGUGCUACAAUGGUAGGUACAGAGGGCAGCUACACAGCGAUGUGAUGCGAAUCUCAAAAAGCCUAUCGUAGUCCAGAUUGGAGUCUGCAACUCGACUCCAUGAAGUAGGAAUCGCUAGUAAUCGCGGAUCAGAAUGCCGCGGUGAAUACGUUCCCGGGCCUUGUACACACCGCCCGUCACACCAUGGGAGUUGAUUGCACCA
RNAcentral lists this ribosomal RNA (1335 nucleotides) under Psychrobacter glacincola. Its description in RNAcentral is "bacterial SSU rRNA". It matches the Rfam family "Bacterial small subunit ribosomal RNA", at positions 89 to 1422 of the family's 1533-position model. Lineage: Bacteria; Pseudomonadati; Pseudomonadota; Gammaproteobacteria; Moraxellales; Moraxellaceae. The record is from RNAcentral.